GUUAACACCAUGUAGGGGAGCAGGUGCCUUAAAGUCUGGCUUCGCCCCCAAAAGCUGUCCACAGCAAGGUGGUGAUAUAAUGAUGAUCCCCUGCAGUUUCAGAAGUAUCUGUCAUGAAUACGCCUUAUAUCCAAAAGAAAAAGAAGAAGGGGGAAAAAAAAGAAAGACAGUUCUUCAGUUCUUCCCACCGGAGAAUAAAGUCAUACAGCAGAUCUGUGGCCUUCAAACUCCAGUUACCUAUGGAGAUGAAAACGCACCCAGGAUUUCAUGUCUCCUAAUGGAAAAAUCACACGGACCACACCUUCCCUGGA
Long non-coding RNA from Mauremys mutica (yellowpond turtle), 311 nucleotides. RefSeq lists it as uncharacterized. The record is from RefSeq and is a predicted model, not a curated record. The transcript is spliced from 3 exons. Lineage: Eukaryota; Metazoa; Chordata; Testudines; Geoemydidae.